Long non-coding RNA from Dromaius novaehollandiae (emu), 4677 nucleotides. RefSeq lists it as uncharacterized. Lineage: Eukaryota; Metazoa; Chordata; Aves; Casuariiformes; Dromaiidae. The record is from RefSeq and is a predicted model, not a curated record. The transcript is spliced from 2 exons.
GCCAGAAAAUGAAAGGGUGUGGGAGAAAUGAAUCUCAGACAUUAUUACCACCCACGCAAGCAGCGAGAGCAGAAAUUUCAUGUGCAGCCAACGCACAGUGUUGGGAGAUUUGGAGAGUACAAUGGCGAUGCAUGGAGGACUGGCUGGAGGGCAACCAGUCGGAGCAUUAUUCUUCUGCUGACAGUGCAGUGGAUUAGAGCUCAGUAAUCACCUUCCCCACAGCUCGUGGCUGGAGUCCUGCACAGCCAAGGCUGAGCUGUCAAUGGGAUCAUGGCUCCAGCCCAAGCGAGCCAAAUCGCUGACCAGAGGAGGGAAAAGAGACUGCUGGAGAGGGAAAUGCUAUCCACAUCCGCUGGGAUCCCUGCAGCUCCACACGUGUUUCAGCUCCUCCUAAGAGGAGGAAUGUUAAAAUCCAGACAAGAUUCUUGCAAGGGGGAUUUUACCCACCUGAACCAUUCAUCUUUGCCAAUACAUUUUUCUCCCUGCUCAUUUCUCUGAAGGGCUUAGCCGACAAGAGCAGCUGAUCAGCUGAUAAGGCUCUGGUUCACAGUAUGAUUUAUUUCAGCUAGGCACUGGCAUUAUUUGUACAUCAUCUGAGUCAGGUUGGCUCCUUGAAAACAAGAGUUAGAGAAAACACAACAUGCAAAAGGGCUAAUGCAAAAGGAGAGGAAGAACGAAAAAUAUAUUAGGUGCAGUAUCAUUCUCUAGACAGUAGGGAGAAAAGGAAAUGGAGAAUGGGUCUCCACUGGACCAAGGAGGGGCAAAGCACUUAGUGUAGGCAGUGCACUGGGGCAGGUCCAGGGUGGGCCAGGAGUUGGGAUGUGUAGAAGAGAGACUUAUAAUAUCUUCCCUCUUUUUCUGUGAGAUAGCGGUGAUGUCAUCACCCUUUGACUCUACUGGUCCAGAGCUGGUGAACUUCCAGUUAUCUCACUAGAAGCUUAGAUGCUCCUUUCCAGCUAGCUAAUUAAUCUCAUUCACUGGGAAAUUAUACUGAAAUCCUGUGUGUUCAGACUCCCAGCUUUGUUCCCUAGAUUGCAAAAACACAGAUCUUCUGGUGAAGGUACAGCACAAACUUGAAAUACACUUUCAUUUGUCUCGUUGACGUUUAGCUGUUAAAAGCAAAAACUGAAAUAUCAUUCUUGAUAGUACAUGAUAUGAUAACACCUCUACCCAGCCAAACUGGUUCUUGAACCAGUUCAGAUGAUCAAGGAGGAAAAGAGAAGCGUAAGCUACUUCGGUUGAACUAGUAUAAAUUGGAGGCUAAAAAUAUACAUGUAUGUGUAUGCCAAAUUAUUCAUCAGAUGUCACAGGAUUAGUUUCAAGAAGCUGCAUGCAAAUAAAUAUACAUGUAUGUGUGUGCCAAAUUAUUCAUCAGAUGUCACAGGAUUAGUUUCAAGAAGCUGCAUGCAAACAAUAUGACUCAUACUUCUACCUGGCGUCGUGUAACAGAUGCUGUCAAUAUAUUUUGUUUCAUGUUAAUGCUGUAAAUUCUUGUUAAACACUUUUCAGAAUUUUUUCUUCCUUCCUAUAGUGCCAUCUUUCAACUAGCACUCUGAUUGCUUUUUGGUGUAAUGAUGCAAGACCUGAUUUUAGAGACAGCUAACUCUGGUGAUGUGCUGUGUUAUUAUAGUGCCACCUAAUACCUCAUUCAUUUGAUACAUUAGGUAGUGUACUACAUCAACAAGACAAAGUGCUCACAUCAUUUCUAUAGAGAUGGAAUUUUUCAGUGGCAAGCAUGAAUUCAGGGUAAAAGCUGUAUCUGCUGCAGUGCCAGAAUGCCCCUUGGCUUUGUCUUUUCCACUUUAUGAAACUUGCUAGGCAAUUCAAAACCAAGGAGACCUAUUAAGAAAAAAGGAUGAAUUCAUCCAUUAUAAUCUUAACAUGAUAGAAUUCGUGGUCUUUGUAUAUAUGUACCAUCAUCAAAAUAAGAAAAGGAAAAGAGUAAUAUAUUUCUGGAAUAUAUUUAUUUUAUUAUCUUAUAAAGCAGCUAUCUCCAGGACAGCUGAUAACUAAAUACUGUGUUUUGAGUAGUUAUAUAAAUGACAAACAAACAGAAGUGACCUCUAAAAUAAAUCCUAAUAUAUGUCACAGAAAGCAUAAAUGUCUGCAGUUAACAGUCAUUCUGAAAAGCAAAGGCAUCAGUGUCACACAAAGAAUAGGUUCCCUGAGGUUCUCCCCUCUGGAGAGAUGCACGCUAAUGAAGUCCAGUGCAACAGCACCAGCAGGAGCAAAUGACUCACCUGAACUCAGGUUCUGUGACAGAACAUAAAAGGGAGGUAAUGAAUCAAGUAACUGGCUCCCAUACCAGUAAGAAUAUUUAGGUAUUGUCCCUAUUGCUGAUGUAGGAAUCCCUGAAGCAUCCCGAGUCCUGUAGCUUGCAUCCAUGUUUGCACUCUUACAGUGCCUCUGUAAUUCCCCAGCUAUCCACCUCAACCGCUCACAGGGGACAUCCCAAGGCAUUUGCACCAGGUCCCCCUUACUUGCACCAUUCCUGAUGGGAGAGACCUCCAUCUGCACAUGAUGCAAGGAUAGAGCAUGGCUCAUUCCUCUGAGUUCAUCGCUACACAACUGCUCUCCCUGAGCCAGACUGCCGCUCUGACUGGCAGCUGUGGUUCACUUUUCCUCUAAGGUAAAGAGGGCAGCUGUCUAAGAGAGGUGAGAUGGUCUCAUUACCAAAGUAUACCGAGUGUACCUGUAGCUGAAGGUACACAACAUGCUUUUCACACACCACCACUCCUUUUCCUUGGCCAGGUCCCAUUGUUCAUGUUUGUUGUUCAGCAUUUCCCUGAUCAUUGCUUAAAUUCCCCCAGUUACUGCCUUUCUUCUGUAGGCACCAGUGGCUUGCUGCCAGUGGAGGACACCUCGCAGCCAGCUGCUGCCUGUUUGACAUCUUUAGUGGACUGCCUGUGAGUAGCAGAGACUUGUAGCUGCAUAAAGGUGUGUGAUGUCGAACUCCUAUCCUCAGCAGAAGUGGACUGAGAGCAGGAAGUUAUGUAUCCCUCGCAGCAUCUUUUCCAUGCACAGCCAUAGCCUGCAUAAUGACCUCUCUCUCACAGCCUCCUUGGGACAGGUCACUUCUGAGAUACAUCUACUUUCCCUGCAAAUGAAUUCUGCAAUUGGGAACUGCCGUCCUUGGCUUGGUCGUGGGCCUCCUUCAGCUUUUUUGCCUUUACCUGCCAUUGCAUCCAACUACAGACCUUUCCCUGCAAGGUCAUCCAUGAUUUCGUAUGUGACAGCUGUGGUUCAGCUUCCCGAAAUUACAUCCUCAGAGGCACUCCUUCCAGGUGGAUGUAAAGACCACUAUCAUCUCCAAGUGAUGCUCUGGGCAGAGGGCUCCUGAGUUGUAAGACAGGCUGAGCAGCUUUGUCUCCUUUUCUUCAGCCUUUUGUGCCUAAGUAUUGCAGUAUUGUCAGGCAGUCCUGUGGCUAUAUAGUGAGGAUGAUGAGGGAAUUUAGCUUUGAGACAGAGUGGGAGCUACGAGCAUAGCUGCAGCUUAGAGAUCUUCCUUCCAUUCAGACCAUCCUGCAGAGGUGGCUAUUGAUCCACUUGUCCUUGUGACCUUAGCAAUCAGGGCUUCUGACACUGGACAAGUUCGUCCUAUUGCCUACAAUGGGCAGAGCAACAGAAUCUCCAUCUCCAAAAUAUACUCACUUUUGUGUUCAUUGUCAUGCAAGAUCUCCAGGCUAUGUAGAAGACUGUGUCAUGAAGACUGAUCUCAUCCCAAAGCCACUGGAUCCUGCAAUUAUAGUUUCGCGUUGCUAUUCAUUCCUGAUGGUUCAGAAGAGGGACCUUGGCCUCACACAAGCCAUGGGUUGAGGCUUGGAAGAAUUUCUGUGUCUUUGUACGGUCAGAAGACUCAUUGAGAGUGGCAAAGGGUAUCCUGCAUAUAGAAGGAGCAACCAACAACCAUCCGGGCUACCCAAUAUUGUGACAUACUGGAAGAAAGCUAUGCAGAGUUAAAGGUGGAAGGAUGACCCUGUGCUAAGAAAUGGGGGUGAAGAAGACCUGGCUUCAUUUCCAGCCUUUAUCAUGGACUUCCUAUGUAAUGUGAGAUAAGUUACUAAGCUCUUUGUUCAUCAUGUCAUGUUCUGUGAAACCCGGAUAAUAAUGUUUUCUUUUCCUUUUUUAUGCCCUCAUUCUUGCCUAAUAAAACAGUCUGCUUUCCAGCUUAAUAUAGAGUUUGUAUUUGUACAGCAAAUAAGCAAGUAAGCAUGUGAAUACAGAACUCCCUUUCCAAGGCUUCAUAUUUGUUCAUAUUCAAAGCUCACUCAUAAAUGUAAAUGGCAUAAAUCUGUCUGCCUGUGUAUCCAGUUGCAGGUGUAUUCAGGUCAGAAUAGUGACCUGGAAUUGCUUCAAACUGUACUUGAUAAAUAACAUAUCAGUUUUCAAGACUUAAAAGUUCAAUAAGAAUUAAGCUAGCUUUUUCUUUAUUUCAUGUUCAUUAUCAACUAGUGAGGAAGGUUCAUUUCACUGUAUAGCUCUAUGACUUAAGUUAUUUGCCUGAAAUGUUAGAUUUGAUUAGAAUCCUGAAUCUAGUCCCUCCAUUUAUCUAUUGCUUUAUCUCAAGGAGCCAGUAACUGCAGAAAUCAAGAGGUUAUUUCUCUAUCUCCUUCCCUGGAAAUCCUAGAAUAAUAAAUAACAUUUUAGUGUAAGUAUCAACUGGGAAUUCUUAACUGU